RNAcentral lists this ribosomal RNA (262 nucleotides) under uncultured prokaryote. RNAcentral's name for it is "partial 16S ribosomal RNA". It matches the Rfam family "Bacterial small subunit ribosomal RNA", at positions 917 to 1178 of the family's 1533-position model. The record is from RNAcentral.
GGGCCCGCACAAGCGGUGGAGCAUGUGGUUUAAUUCGAUGCAACGCGAAGAACCUUACCUACUCUUGACAUCCAGAGAAUUUGCUAGAGAUAGCUUAGUGCCUUCGGGAACUCUGAGACAGGUGCUGCAUGGCUGUCGUCAGCUCGUGUUGUGAAAUGUUGGGUUAAGUCCCGCAACGAGCGCAACCCUUAUCCUUUGUUGCCAGCGAGUAAUGUCGGGAACUCAAAGGAGACUGCCGGUGAUAAACCGGAGGAAGGUGGGG